This is an RNA transcript of Toxotes jaculatrix (banded archerfish), 1796 nucleotides long. It is a transcript of the gene named peroxisomal biogenesis factor 10, with no coding region annotated. Lineage: Eukaryota; Metazoa; Chordata; Actinopteri; Toxotidae. The transcript is spliced from 7 exons. The record is from RefSeq and is a predicted model, not a curated record.
CAUGUGUUUCCUGUGGAUUUAGCUACAUGAAAUUGUUAGAGAUAUUAUAAGGAAAUUAUCGGUGCAUAUCCAGACUGUACAUGACACAGCGACAGAUGGUCGCUCCACGGACACGACUUAGCAGUUAGCUUAGCCUGUUAUAGCCGUGUGCUGUUUCUCUUGCUGUGUAUUUUUCACAACCCUGUGGCAUCUUGGAUGUUUGUCGGCUUCAGGCUUGUGUUUGACUGGACUGACGAGGUCUGACAAGCCGCUGCAUGGACGGUACGUUAGAGGUGUAACCGGAGGUUUCUCUGUUUGAAAAACUUUGCCCAGUGGACUUGAAUAUUUCGCCAUGAACUGAAACUUCACCGUGUUUGCUAGCGUCUGACAUUGGCUCUCUGGUGUUAGCUAACGAUGCCCCUCGCCCCUGCAAACCAGUCCCAGUUGAUUCGUUCCAGCCAAAAGGACGAAUAUUACCGUACCUUCCUGAGAAACAAUGCCAACGAAGCUUUUCAAACACUUGCUGGAUCCAAAAGAUGGCUGGACUGGAGGAAAGAGAUAGAGCUGCUGUCUGAUCUUGUAUACUAUGGUUUAACAACAGUCUCAGGCUACCAGACUCUGGGAGAGGAGUACGUCAGCAUCGUCCAGGUGGAUCCCACUAAACGACGGAUCCCCUCCCGAGCCAGACGCGGGCUCUUUGUCCUCUGCCAUGCCUUCUUGCCUUACUUCCUGGACAAGGUCCUGGUGUGCCUAGAGAACGAGCUGGAACGUGGGCAGGAGAACGUCGGUGGUGUCAGUCGGCAGCAGGCGGCGUCCUGGCCAUGGAGCCUGGAGUCUUGGCUGAAGAGAUGGGUGCAGAGAGCAGUGGGGCUGCUGUCAGAGCCCCAGAGGAGAGCGUGUGUGCCGGCCACGUUUGUCCUCCAGCAGUGUCUGACCCUCCUACACCGACUCCAUGUGGCUCUGUUCUACAUCAGCGGCUCUUUCUAUCACCUGUCCAAGAGGACGGCUGGUAUCAGUUAUCUGCGUGUGAUGGGGCUGAACACCAGUGACGGGACCAUCAGGAGCAGCUACAGGCUGCUGGGGGCCGUGUCCCUCCUUCAGCUGCUCAUCACUGUCUGUCUUCAGUUCAACAACUUCAGACAGAGACAGAGGGCCAGGCAGGAGUGGAAGCUCUAUAGGAACCUCAGUCCUCAGCACACACAGAGCCCGAGCCCCAGAGCUGCCCGCUGCAUCCUCUGUCUGGAGGAGAGGAGACACUCCACCUCCACCCCCUGUGGACAUCUCUUCUGCUGGGAGUGCAUCACAGAGUGGUGCAACACCAAGGCAGAAUGCCCUCUGUGUCGGGAGAAGUUCCAGCCUCACAGACUCGUGUACCUGAGGAACUACAGCUAAAACUACAGAGCCAGAAACUACACACACGCACAUAUAGACACACACUUCUGGUGGACUGCAGUGCUUUGUAAUACCUGUGCAGACAGGCUGCCCCUCAGGGACAUGUGAAGACAUAAACAGUGUUUUCCAGCAAUCACACAGAACGUUGUGCCAACACAAAGUAGCUUCUUCAGGUUGUUUAGGACUGAGCUGGACAUGGAAAUAUCUCUGGAAACCUUUGAACGCCUCCCUAAAACCUUGUCGGGUUGUAUCUUAUAAGACCGAGAUGCUCUGACCUUCUCUGUCUCUGUAAACACGGACGAUCACCUGCCGUUAUCUCAUGUGUUCAGCAGUACACACGAGUCAUGUGAUGGAGAACAUCUGGUCACUGCUUUCCGAACCUACACAUAAUCAUCUUAAGAGUGCCUGAGCCGUAUAAGUUAAAC